This is a small nuclear RNA of Apodemus sylvaticus (European woodmouse), 195 nucleotides long. RefSeq annotates it as U2 spliceosomal RNA. The record is from RefSeq and is a predicted model, not a curated record. NCBI's taxonomy places the organism in Eukaryota, Metazoa, Chordata, Mammalia, Rodentia, Muridae. The transcript has a single exon.
AUCGCUUCUCGGCCUUUUGGCUAAGAUCAAGUGUAGUAUCUGUUCUUAUCAGUUUAAUAUCUGAUACGUCCUCUAUCCGAGGGCAAUAUAUUAAAUGGAUUUUUGGAACUAGGAGUUGGAAUAGGAGCUUGCUCCGUCCACUCCACGCAUCGACCUGGUAUUGCAGUACCUCCAACCCCCUCUGGGGAAUAAAGA